Molecule: ribosomal RNA, 679 nt
Filed under: Clostridioides difficile
Lineage: Bacteria; Bacillati; Bacillota; Clostridia; Peptostreptococcales; Peptostreptococcaceae
Description: bacterial LSU rRNA
Rfam family: Bacterial large subunit ribosomal RNA
Source: RNAcentral
GCGUAGGUGAUGGACAACAGGUUGAUAUUCCUGUACUACCGAUAACCGUUUGAGAGAAGGGAUGACACAGUAGGAUAAGCUAAGCACACUGUUGGUUAUGUGUGCCCAAGCAUUGAGGCAGUCAAAGUAGGCAAAUCCGCUUUGAUAAUGCUGGGAUGUGAUGGGGAGCGAAAUUUAGUAGCGAAGUAGCUGAUUUCACACUGUCAAGAAAAGUCUCUAUCGAGGUUAAAGGUACCCGUACCGCAAACCGACACAGGUGGGUGAGGAGAGUAUCCUAAGGCCAGCGAGAGAACUGUUGUUAAGGAACUCGGCAAAAUGACCCCGUAACUUAGGGAUAAGGGGUGCCACCAUCAGGUGGCCGCAGAGAAUAGGCCCAAGCGACUGUUUACCAAAAACAUAGGUUUCUGCUAAGUCGCAAGACGAUGUAUAGGAGCUGACGCCUGCCCGGUGCUGGAAGGUUAAGGGGAUCUGUUAGAGCAAUCGAAGCAGUGAACUUAAGCCCCAGUAAACGGCGGCCGUAACUAUAACGGUCCUAAGGUAGCGAAAUUCCUUGUCGGGUAAGUUCCGACCCGCACGAAAGGCGUAACGAUUUGGGCACUGUCUCAACAACAGACUCGGUGAAAUUGUAAUUCCGGUGAAGAUGCCGGAUACCUGCGACAGGACGGAAAGACCCCAUGGA